RNAcentral lists this ribosomal RNA (457 nucleotides) under Peptoniphilus sp. oral taxon 836. Its description in RNAcentral is "bacterial SSU rRNA". It matches the Rfam family "Bacterial small subunit ribosomal RNA", at positions 28 to 464 of the family's 1533-position model. Lineage: Bacteria; Bacillati; Bacillota; Tissierellia; Tissierellales; Peptoniphilaceae. The record is from RNAcentral.
GACGAACGCUGGCGGCGCGCUUAACACAUGCAAGUCGAGCGAUGAAAUUCUAACAGAACCUUUCGGGGCGAAGAUAAGACGGAUUAGCGGCGGACGGGUGAGUAACACGUGAGUAACCUGCCUUUUACACAGGGAUAGCCUCGGGAAACCGGGAUUAAAACCUGAUGAAACUAUCAAAUCACAUGAUUAAGAAAGUUAAAACUCCGGUGGUAAAAGAUGGACUCGCGUCCCAUUAGCUAGUUGGUGAAGGUAACGGCCCACCAAGGCAACGAUGGGUAGCCGGCCUGAGAGGGUGAACGGCCACAUUGGAACUGAGAAACGGUCCAAAUUCCUACGGGAGGCAGCAGUGGGGAAUAUUGCACAAUGGGGGAAACCCUGAUGCAGCGACGCCGCGUGAGCGAAGAAGGCCUUCGGGUCGUAAAGCUCUUUUAUAUGGGAAGAUAAUGACGUACCAUAA